CCUACGGGUGGCAGCAGUGAGGAAUAUUGGUCAAUGGCCGGGAGGCUGAACCAGCCAAGUCGCGUGAGGGAAGACGGCCCUACGGGUUGUAAACCUCUUUUGUCAGGGAGCAAGGUGCAGGUCGGGACCUGCUGUGAGAGUACCUGAAGAAAAAGCAUCGGCUAACUCCGUGCCAGCAGCCGCGGUAAUACGGAGUAUGAGAGCGUUAUCGGGAUUUAUUGGGUUUAAAGGGUGCGCAUGCGGAGGCACAAGUCCGCGGUAAAAUCGCGGGGCUAAACCCCGCUACGCCGUGGAAACUGUGUCCCUUGAGUGCGCGAAGGGUAGGCGGAAGGUGAGGUGUAGCGGUGAAAUGCAUAGAUAUCGCGCAGAACUCCGAUCGCGAAGGCAGCCUACCGGCGCGCAACUGACGCUCAUGCACGAAAGCGUGGGUAUCGAACAGGAUUAGAUACCCGAGUAGUC
Molecule: ribosomal RNA, 459 nt
Filed under: uncultured bacterium
Lineage: Bacteria
Description: partial 16S ribosomal RNA
Rfam family: Bacterial small subunit ribosomal RNA
Source: RNAcentral